UUCUCCCCAUUUCUUUAAUUUCAAAAUCUCUCUCUCCCUUUUCAAAAUCUUCUUUGAUUGAACUUAUUUUGUUCCAAACUUUGACCACUUUGCAAAAAGAUAGAAACUUUGGCCUUAUGUCAUUGUAUUUUUAAACUUCUUUUCUUAAAUCAAACUUAUAAAUAAAUUUAUAUAUACUUGACUUAAACUUUCAAAAAGCCAAAAAGAACUAACUCAC
This 217-nucleotide long non-coding RNA is filed under the name Lathyrus oleraceus (garden pea). RNAcentral describes it as "Pisum sativum (pea) long non-coding RNA (PSAT_LNC023766)". Lineage: Eukaryota; Viridiplantae; Streptophyta; Magnoliopsida; Fabales; Fabaceae. The record is from RNAcentral.